CACGUAGUUAGCCGGGGCUUUCUGCUCAAGUACUGUCAACGUUUCAGUCUGUUCGACUGAAACGGAUUCAUCCUUGAGAACAGAGCUUUACAAUCCGAAGACCGUCAUCACUCACGCGGCGUUGCUCCGUCAGGCUUUCGCCCAUUGCGGAAAAUUCCCUACUGCUGCCUCCCGUAGGAGUCUGGGCCGUGUCUCAGUCCCAGUGUGGCCGGUCACCCUCUCAGGUCGGCUACGCAUCGUCGCCUUGGUAGGCCUUUCCCCCGACCAACUAGCUAAUGCGCCGCGGGCCCAUCGAUUAGUGCUAGCCAAAAGCCAGCUUUCCCCUCUCCUUCAUGCGAAAAACGAGGCAUAUCCGGUAUUAGCUCCGGUUUUCCCGGAGUUAUCCCAGGCUGAUCGGUAGGUUACCCACGUGUUACUCACCCGUUCGCCGCUCGAUCCACACCCGAAGGUGCUUCUCGCGCUCGACUUGCAUGUAUUAGGCACGCCGCCAGCGUCUCGUCUAGCGAC
This 507-nucleotide ribosomal RNA is filed under the name uncultured Thermoactinomycetaceae bacterium. Its description in RNAcentral is "partial 16S ribosomal RNA". Lineage: Bacteria; Bacillati; Bacillota; Bacilli; Caryophanales; Thermoactinomycetaceae. The record is from RNAcentral.